UUUGAAUUAAUGUUUAAAAUUAUUAAAUAUAGGUGAUCUCUCCGAUUCUCUCUAAAAAUAGUUUGCAAGAAACGUGAAGCUGGCCACAUUCUCUUUCUUCAAAUUAAACAUGACAGACAAACAUCAUAAGAAAGAUGAACGAGAUCCCAACGGACGCUUACUCAGUCUGGUACGCUGGGCGUGUCGCGAGAAAUAUGAAGUCCUCCGUUUGCGUCCUUUCAUGGUGAGGACUCCCAGCGUCAGUCGUGGGAGGGGACGAUGUGUUCAGGUACAUCGAGAAGGGAUAUCAGACAGGGGACUCGCUCAUGCGUGCGCGUCUGAUCCUAAGAGGGCAACAUCACUAAGUCGCUACCAACACUUGCAUCAAACUCCUGAAGUUAUUAAUUUUUACCACAUGAUUGAUUUGGAGUGUCUGGAAGAGAUAAAUGCACCACCGCCUGAGUCCUCCGACAAUGAGGACGAUCAUGCUUGACAUAUUUCAAUUUGUCUAUUAUAAAUUCUCAAAUUUCAUGUUUAUAGACUUGAUAAAUUUUAUGUAGCAUUUUAAUACAGGUUAUCCAAUUUGUAAAUAUUGAAUACAAGUUAUUCUAAUUAUGUGAGUGUACUAUUUUGUUC
Alnus glutinosa is the source of this 615-nucleotide long non-coding RNA. RefSeq lists it as uncharacterized. NCBI's taxonomy places the organism in Eukaryota, Viridiplantae, Streptophyta, Magnoliopsida, Fagales, Betulaceae. The transcript has 2 exons. The record is from RefSeq and is a predicted model, not a curated record.